RNAcentral lists this long non-coding RNA (210 nucleotides) under Elaeis guineensis (African oil palm). RNAcentral describes it as "long non-coding RNA (EGUI_LNC049925)". Lineage: Eukaryota; Viridiplantae; Streptophyta; Magnoliopsida; Arecales; Arecaceae. The record is from RNAcentral.
CACAUGGAUCACCCUGGCCCAGGGUUUGCUAAAUUGAAAUACACUGAUGCAUAUCUCCUACUAAUUCGUAGGGGUCAAUCCCAUCUUGACUCACACACUGACUUGACAAUUACUUGACUGUACCCAAAAAAUCUUUCAUCAUUGAAUUGAAAACUUAAUUAAUCUAGUACUAAAGUAUAGUGAGUUGCUUGUAAGUCACCGUGGUGAUCU